RNAcentral lists this ribosomal RNA (158 nucleotides) under Cortinarius tessiae. RNAcentral's name for it is "5.8S ribosomal RNA". It matches the Rfam family "5.8S ribosomal RNA". From Rfam's summary of the family: 5.8S ribosomal RNA (5.8S rRNA) is a component of the large subunit of the eukaryotic ribosome. It is transcribed by RNA polymerase I as part of the 45S precursor that also contains 18S and 28S rRNA. Lineage: Eukaryota; Fungi; Basidiomycota; Agaricomycetes; Agaricales; Cortinariaceae. The record is from RNAcentral.
CAACUUUCAGCAACGGAUCUCUUGGCUCUCGCAUCGAUGAAGAACGCAGCGAAAUGCGAUAAGUAAUGUGAAUUGCACAAUUCAGUGAAUCAUCGAAUCUUUGAACGCACCUUGCGCUCCUUGGUAUUCCGAGGAGCAUGCCUGUUUGAGUGUCAUUA